Molecule: ribosomal RNA, 115 nt
Filed under: Staphylococcus felis
Lineage: Bacteria; Bacillati; Bacillota; Bacilli; Caryophanales; Staphylococcaceae
Source: RNAcentral
UCUGGUGCCAAUGGCAAAGAGGUCACACUUGUCGCCAUGCCGAACACAGAAGUUAAGCUCUUUAGUGCCGUUGGUAGUCGUACUUACGUUCCUCUAGAUUAGGACGGUUCCAUGU